RNAcentral lists this ribosomal RNA (1583 nucleotides) under Serilophus lunatus (silver-breasted broadbill). Its description in RNAcentral is "16S ribosomal RNA". It matches the Rfam family "Bacterial large subunit ribosomal RNA". The record is from RNAcentral. Lineage: Eukaryota; Metazoa; Chordata; Aves; Passeriformes; Eurylaimidae.
AGCCUAACUCUAGCCCCACCAAACAAGCCCCAAAGCCAACCCCCUCAAACAAAAUAAAUUAAAACAUUAACCCAGACCCAGUAUAGGCGAUAGAAAAGUCACUAGGGCGCAAUAGAGCUUACGUACCGCAAGGGAAAGAUGAAAUAUAAGUGAAAACCAAGCACCAAACAGCAAAGAUUAUCCCUUGUACCUUUUGCAUCAUGAUUUAGCGAGAACUAGCCAGACAAAACGACCUUAAGUCUGCCUCCCCGAAACCCAAGCGAGCUACUCGUGAGCAGCUAACCUAUGAGCGAACCCGUCUCUGUUGCAAAAGAGUGGGAUGACUUACUAGUAGAGGUGAAAAGCCUACCGAGCUGGGUGAUAGCUGGUUGCCCGCGAAAGGAAUUUAAGUUCCCCCUUGAACUGCCAACAGGACACCCUCAUGACCCCCCCCCGUUCAAGAGCAAGUUAAAGGGGGUACAGCCCCUUUAAUCCAAAACACACCUUCUUAAAGAGGAUAAACUCCACCCACCCAUAGACUGUGGGCCUUAAAGCAGCCAUCAACAAUGAGUGCGUCAAAGCUCCCCGUACAAAAAUCUUAACAUAGCCUGACUCCCUUCCCCCUAGCGGGCCAAUCUAUAUCUGAUAGAAGAAAUAAUGCUAGAAUGAGUAACUAGGACACCCCCUCUAUGGCGCAACCCUGCCUCCUCCACAAUUAACAGGCCCCAAAUAUUUACCCCCAACUCAAGAACACAAUAUACCAACCCCCUGUUGACCCAACCCAGCGGAGCGCCCCUAAGACCGAUUAAAACUCGUAGAAGGAACUAGGCAAACCAAAGGCCCGACUGUUUACCAAAAACAUAGCCUCCAGCGAGCCAAGUAUUGGAGGUGACGCCUGCCCGGUGACAUCACGUUCAACGGCCGCGGUAUCCUAACCGUGCGAAGGUAGCGCAAUCAAUUGUCCCAUAAAUUGGGACCUGUAUGAAUGGCUGAACGAGGUCUUAACUGUCUCCUACGAGUAAUCAGUGAACUUGAUCUCCCUGUGCAAAAGCAGGAAUAACCACAUAAGACGAGAAGACCCUGUGGAACUUAAAAAUCAACAGCCACCCUCUUCGCCUACGCCCCCAAUGGGCUCAUUCUCCAAGACUAAGACUCUGGCCUGUAUUUUUCGGUUGGGGCGACCUUGGAGUAUAACACAACCUCCAAACACCAGACCACCCCUCUAAACCAAGAACAACCUGUCAACGUGCUAAUAGCAGUCAGACCCAAUAUGACAUUGAUCAAUGAACCAAGCUACCCCAGGGAUAACAGCGCAAUCCCCUCCAAGAGCCCCCAUCGACGAGGGGGUUUACGACCUCGAUGUUGGAUCAGGACAUCCUAGUGGUGUAGCCGCUACUAAGGGUUCGUUUGUUCAACGAUUAAUAGUCCUACGUGAUCUGAGUUCAGACCGGAGCAAUCCAGGUCGGUUUCUAUCUAUGAUGAACUUUUUCCAGUACGAAAGGACCGAAAAAGUGAGACCAAUGCCCCAAGUAUGUCUUAACCAAAAGUAAUGAACCCAACUAAAUUACAUAAGGUAACCUAACCUACAUCCAAGAAAAGGAUAG